RNAcentral lists this ribosomal RNA (355 nucleotides) under Komiyandra vivesi. RNAcentral describes it as "SSU rRNA". It matches the Rfam family "Eukaryotic small subunit ribosomal RNA", at positions 1172 to 1489 of the family's 1831-position model. The record is from RNAcentral. Lineage: Eukaryota; Metazoa; Arthropoda; Insecta; Coleoptera; Cerambycidae.
AGGAGUGGAGCCUGCGGCUUAAUUUGACUCAACACGGGAAACCUCACCAGGCCCGGACACCGGAAGGAUUGACAGAUUGAGAGCUCUUUCUUGAUUCGGUGGGUGGUGGUGCAUGGCCGUUCUUAGUUGGUGGAGCGAUUUGUCUGGUUAAUUCCGAUAACGAACGAGACUCUAGCCUGCUAACUAGGCGUAUUUCGACAUCCCAAAGGCCCGCCGAUUCGGGGUUUCUACUCCGUUAUCGCGCGCGGUUUUUACUGUCGGCGUACAAACAAUUCUUCUUAGAGGGACAGGCGGCUUCUAGCCGCACGAGAUUGAGCAAUAACAGGUCUGUGAUGCCCUUAGAUGUUCUGGGCCG